RNAcentral lists this long non-coding RNA (6345 nucleotides) under Solanum lycopersicum (tomato). Its description in RNAcentral is "partial TCONS_00150035". The record is from RNAcentral. Lineage: Eukaryota; Viridiplantae; Streptophyta; Magnoliopsida; Solanales; Solanaceae.
ACGAGAAACAGUUCAGCCCAGAAUGAAGAAUGAGGCCAACUGAGAGAACACAAAAAUGGAUUUCAUGGAGGAUGGUUGCCAUCUCUGAUUGGCCAAUGAUUUCUCCGUCCGAUGAAAACUAACAACCCUCCUUAUCAAAAAUUCCAAAAAAAGAAAAAAAAAAUUAAUACUUCCUUUGUUCCAUUUUUACUAGGUUUUGCAAAAUGUCCACAAAUUGCUGUAGAAAAGAUGGAAAGAGGCAGUGAUGACAUUGCUGUGUGAUGAUUCUGGGCUGAAAUUUGGGGCAUGGAGAAAACCCGACUCGUAUCUUGGCGGGGCAAAACCAGAAUCAUGCAAAACCGGUUCAUUUUUUUUUUUUUUGCAGCCAUGGCGAUUGUUGUCUUCUUCUCCUCUUGCCCCCAUUUUACACAGAUCUGAGCCUCAUUUUCAAAUUCGGAUGGAAACCCAGUUCAUUUAGCUCAAAAGACUGAGGCAAUCGGAGAAAAUGGGGAUUUUUUUUUCAUCUCCGGUAUGUCAAUGAUUUCUUCUUUGCUCUAGUUGACAUUCCCUUAAUCUUUUGAUUUAAUUUCCUAGAUUUUUAAUGUUGGGUAUAAAAUUAUAUGUUUUGGGCAUAUGAGUUCUUUAGAAACUGAAACUAUACAGAAAUAUUAACUUAUGUCUCGCAAAAAAUUGUUUGUUAUGAGUGCAUAAACUAAAACCCAACACAAAAUAGGGCAAAUGUGUGAAUGGUCCAGUAAUGGAAGCUCAGCCCAGUAUGAAGAAUGAGGCCAACAGGGAGAAAAAAGGGAAGUUCUUUGGAGGGUGGUUGCCCUCUCUGAUUGGCCUGUGAUUUCUCUUUUAACCAAACUAACAACCAUCUAUAAAAGUUGGAAAAAGAAACGAUGUUUGUUGUCAUUGUCAUUUGCCUUCAAUGGGGGCAAUGUGAUGCUAAUUGGCAAUUGUACUAUUCAAUUUUCUAUUAUUCUGAGCUACAUUUAGUUGCAUGAUCAUAAGUUCUUUAAGGAUAGCAGGACAAAAGUGCAAAUGACCCUCUGAGCUAAGGUCGGCUUAUGCUUUAAAGCCACUAGAAAGCAGUCCAAUCCAAACAGGCUCUUAUUGGAUUAUUCUUGUUAAGGUUGUUCAAAUGUGCUCUUCUGGAAAAGUUCCCAUGUUUAGGCAGUGAUGAUAUUUGCUAAUCUGGGCUGAUGUUUAUUAUUUGGGGUAUGGGGACAAUCUGACCCGUAUCUUGGCAUGGCAAAUCCAGAUGGUUUGUGAUUGAGUCUUCUCUUUCACAUGCAACUGGUUCUUUUGCAGCCAUGGCGGUUGUUGCCUUCUCUCUGCCCCAAUUUUUUGCAGAUCUGAGCCUCAAUUUCCAACUAGUCCAACUGGAUGUCCCAGGACUCAAAGAGUUUUGAACCUAAAUGAUGAUAAAACCCCAUGUAUGCACACACACAAAAAAAACACUUGAUGAGAAAAUGUCAAAAUGGUCCCUUAUCAGUGCAAUGAUGAUCUUUCAAUCUGUCCUCUUUAGCUAGUAAUUGAGCAUUUAGAGUACCUGGCCAGUAUCUUGGCGGGGCAAUGACCCGGAUGCCUGUGAUUUUGUUGCAUGCAACUUGGAAAUAUUUGCAGCCAUCGUAUGACUGGACUCCGACUUUCUUUACCUGAGCAUAAGAUGGAUCUGAGCCUCAAUUCACUUGUGGGUGUAUUUGGAAUGAAGGAAAAUGUUUUAGUGUUCACUACAAUAAAAGAGACAUUUUGUGGCAAUAGAAUUCCUCUUGCUGGCAAUAUUUAUGGCUGCAAAAACAUUUUGCUGCAAAUUAAGUUAAUGCCAUUGCAUCUUAAGUCGCUAGUGUCUUAAGUGACGUUUAUAUAGAGUGAUGUUUAUAAAUACUCAUAUAGGUUAUUGCCGCCAAAUAUAUUCUAGUAGCGAUUAUAUCAUUGCUGCUAAAUAAUUGCCACAAAAUUCUCUGUUUGUUGUAGUAGAAUCAGCCGUAAAGUGGCUAUCUUGUGUAUAACACCAUACUUAAAUGUGAUCCCAUUGUGGUCUGGAAAGUGGCUACCUUGUGUCAUCUCUACAAAUAAUAAGACCUUCGACAUGAGGCCCAUAAUGAGGCUGUGAUGAUUUUCAUUCUUUACUCAUCAGAUGGUUGAGCUUCAGUAUAUCUUGGCUUGGCAUCUUUUUGGGGGUCUUGCGAGAUAUUGGAGCUAUUUGGGUUUCUACUUCUUACAAAGACUCCUUAAGAUUGCAGCCAUGGUGGGGUUUAGCUUAUGUUUGAGAAAAGGCGAAUCUGAGCCUCCCGAAUCUCUGUUUGUAUAAAACAAUGAGGCUCUUUAUGCUACCCAACUUAUGCUGCAUAACUUAAUCCGUAUGGAACUUAGGCUAAGCGAGACGAAAGGUUCUCCAAACUUAUGCAGAAACAAGAGCUCCUGAUUUUGGGGAAAUCCGUGCUAAAACUUGUUAAUUUAAUGCAUUGAGAAAAUCUGACCUGUAUCUUGGCAGGGCAACCUGGUAUGACAUCAUCGGUAAACUGGCGUUUGCAGCCAUGGCAUUGUUCCUUUCUCUUUGCAUCUUCAUAUACAACAACAUAUGAGCACUAAAGUUGAUGGUAAAUUAUUUCUCAGAUGGUCACUUAACUUAAUGCGGGUACUCAGGAACCUAAAUACCCUAUAGGGUUCAGUCCGAGCAACAUAGAAUCAUUCAAUGAGGCAAUGAAGACAAUCUUUAAGAAUCAGAUAGUUGAACUUUGUUGUAACUUGGUGUGGCAGCUCUAAGGGUCUUUGAGGUAAGAGAACUGUAUUGGUUUUCAUCUCACGAGGCUAUUAAUGCUUUGCUUGCAGCCAUGGCAUAGUAUAGCUUUUUCCUGAGAAAAAGCAAAUCUGAGCCUCCCAAGUAUCUGUUGUGUUUGAGAAUGAGGCUUUUUAUUGAACUCAGGAAUGGUAGAGAUUUUCUAAGGGCGGUUAACUCUUUCUCCUAAGUUCAAUUUUGCCAAUGAAUUUUCCUGUGCUUUUGUAUAAAGUUUACAGCUCUCUCAAUUAGCAGAGCGCUCUUCAUGAUGAUGAUGAUGCUGAUUGAUUGCCAUGAUUAUGGUAAUAAUAAAGGAAAAUACAGUUUUGCCCCUUUAACUUGUGCAAAACCCUGAACUAAACUUUUUGAAUAAGGCUUUGAUGAUAUUUGCCAAGAAGCUCGAAAAUGAGAUUUUAAAACUGAUUCAUAUCUUGUCUAGACAAAGGCAUUUGUGAGGAUGCUUUUUGCAGCCAUGGUGGAUUGGCUCUUUUUUCUGAUUGAUUUUCACUCAAAUCUGAGCCUCUUUCUGUUUAAAGUAUAGUUCUACAAUAUUUAGUCUUUCUUUUUCAUUCAUGGUACGAUCAGUUCAUAUAAGGAAGAGUCCCCUUUGAGAAAGAAGCUUUUAAUGUGUCCAUCUAUACAAUUUCUCCAAAUUGUUAGGUACGUACUGAUAUGAGACAAGGCCAAAGGGAAUGGAAGUGAAUAUUGAGGAUCCGUAUAUUGUUGCUGCAUUUUACUUUUUUGAUCAAGAUUUGUUGCUGCAUUUUUGCACAUUCAAACUUGGAUGUCUUGUUUUAAUCUUGAACGCUCCAAAAUUCAGAGGCAGUGAAGAUUAUUCAUAAUGAAAAUGAAAAGUGAAAAAAAUUAGAGUUGAUUCGUGACCUGGCUUGGCGAGUUCAAUCGGAAGGUCUUAUAAGGCAACUGUUGCUUGAAGCCAGGGCACUGUUCCAACUCUGCUCUUCCUUUUCUUUGAUUAAAUAGGCGAAAAUCUGAGCCUCGUUCUUUGCUUUGUGCAUUUACUUUUUUUUUUACCAGCCUUUCUGGAAAGAGAUUUAGAUUACCAUCGCUCAGUUUCAAAAAAAAAAGAGAAUAGAUUUAGAUUACCAUCACUGUGGAACUUCUGAAAUCAACAGCUCCAUCUGCCAAUGCCAAAAGCCAAAAGUAAAUAAAAAAAAAAGGAUUCUGCAUUAAGUACAUGCAUUUGUACAAUCUUGAUUUGGUUGACGGAAAUUGGAUCCUCCGCAUACAUGAAAAGGUAAUCAUUUUUACCUACAAUUUGUUUUUCUGUUGGUGGAAUAUUGUCAAACUUGACAUGAAUAAUAUUGAAGUACUGUAUGAUUAUUAUGUACUGUAGGUGCAUUGCUAUCUAAAAAGCAUGUUUAAGUAAAUUUGUGCAACUAUCAAUAGUGUCAAUCACUGCUAUUGAAUGCCAACUAAUUCAAUUAUUAGAUGGAAUGACAGUUUAUAUGCAUCCACAAAUCAAGAACUAUUGCUUUGUUCUUAAUUGUUAGUAUAUGCUAUGAAAUGCUCCAUUUACAAUAUAUCUGUUGACAAAUUAUGUGCUUUUUUGGGGGUCAUUUUUUGUUGUUGUAAUUGCAGCAUCCACUGAAUCAGUGACGUAGCCGGAAUAAGCUAAGCACAUACUCACAUGUCCGCUACCUAAACUUGGAACUGUUGGGAAAUUAUUGAUCAAAAGCACCAUAUUGGCCAAGUUAAUGGUGUAUUCUCAUUCCUGAUUAGAGGUACCAGAUGGGCAAAUUAAUUGGUAGGUGAGCACUUUUAACACUUGUUAUUAUAUAUAUUAGUCAAUGUCUUAGAAGGUAUUAAUGUCCCUGAAACACUUUCAAUGCCUUUUGAGGAAGUUUGAUAAUCAGUAGCUAUUUAAUUUGAGAAAGAAUAUUUUAAUACAAUUAAUUUAAAGACAAUUUAAGAUUUUUAUUUUUUUUAACUUUAUUAUUUUUAUUCUUAUUAACACAUAAAGAAACCUACAAUCAAUUGGAAAACAAAAAAUUUGACACGUUAGAUAUAUCUUUUAAUUUAUUUAAUUAUAAUUAUCAUAUGUUGUUAUUUGUCUUAAAUCUUUGUUAUUCUUUCAUUAAUAAUUUGUUCUUAAAAAUAUUACAUAUGUUAUUAAAAUUUGGUUCAACAAUUAGAUACAACGUUCUCAUAUUUUUUAAAUAUUAACUGUGCAUUGGAAUUCAACCCUACCAAAUCCUAAUUGAAGAAUGAAUUGGUCAAAGCAAUAAAUAUAGAGAGAAGAGGAAGCUCCAAAUGACCCAAAAGAAUAGGUUUGUACCCCUAACAUUCAAACGUAUUGUUUUAUAAUGUAUCGUAUUACAUAUUUAUAUUAUUUUGAUGAGUAUAACUGUUGGAUAGAACAAUAAUUCGAAGAAUAAAUCUAUUAGAAAAAUGAAUUAAACCUAAGCUACUAUGAUUUUCUUUUUUUGAAUUUGCAAGGGAAAGCUGUCAAAGACAGGAAAGCUGAUGGAUGUUGAUAAUCAUCAGGUUAGUUAUCUUCAACGUGGGCCUUGCCAUUGUUUAAGAAUCGAACGAAUUCACUUCCAAGAAAGAAAUCAUUGUAAACAUCCUCAAGAGGUUAUCUGUGCGGUCUCUUCUUCGAUUUAAAUCUUGGAAGGAGUUAAUUUCUCAGCCUUACUUUACGAUGAAGCAUCAAAGUCAUGCAAUGAAUGACUUGAAUUCCAAAAAGUUUCUUGUUAGCCAAUGGCAUGUUGAUGAGGUGUACGGAGAGAUACAGUUGCUAGAGCCAAUGAUGGAAAAUGUCAAAGGUUUCACCAACCAUGGAGUUUCAAUAUUAGGAGGAAUGCUUUGCUUUUAUUACACUCAUGCUCCUUCUAACUCGAGAGAGACUACUCUUAAGUUAUGGGUAAUGAAGGAUUACAGUGUCAAAGGAGUCUUGGAUACCAUUAUAUAUACUAUACAAGAUAACGUUUUGCAUUUACUUAGACCGAUAUAUAUGUUUGCAGAUGGUGAAGUGCUACUCAACUACAGAUGUAUAGACCAAGUAGGGUUUAACUUCCCGUUUAGGACAUCCAAAGGACCACUAAAAUUAUGGCACAAAUAUAAUAUCCUAAAGCAAGGAAUUAUUUAUACGAUCUCUCCAAAAUCACUUAUUAGCGCUUGCUUAUGUAUGAUAGACAUUUUUUAAUUUUAUCGGUUUUCGAGUAUAUCAUGUAACAAACUCUUAAUUUUGAUAAGUUUAUCUAUUGCACACUAAUUUUUGUUAUGUAAAAUUUUUAGCUCUCUUCGAUCUCCAAAUCGUCCAUAUCUGCAUACUUAAAAGGUUUAACCAAGUAUUUGGCGAUCUCAAAUGUGUUGAUAUCAAUAAAGACUAUUUUUUUUAAAAAAAAAAGGUUACGUAAACACUUACUCGAGAUCUCACUUCGUGACAAUUGAAAUGCAAAUUCUUAUUGUCUUUAAAAAAAGAGUUUAUUAAAUGAAUAAAUUAUAGUUCUUCGUGACAAUUGGAAUUCAAAUUCUUAUUGUCUUUACAAAAAGAGUUUAUUAAAUGAAUAUAUUAUAGUUCAUAAAUAACGUAUUAGAAUAUCUUAAGAUAUCACCAC